Molecule: ribosomal RNA, 1302 nt
Filed under: Escherichia coli
Lineage: Bacteria; Pseudomonadati; Pseudomonadota; Gammaproteobacteria; Enterobacterales; Enterobacteriaceae
Description: partial 23S ribosomal RNA
Rfam family: Bacterial large subunit ribosomal RNA
Source: RNAcentral
GCGGUGCUGAAGCAACAAAUGCCCUGCUUCCAGGAAAAGCCUCUAAGCAUCAGGUAACAUCAAAUCGUACCCCAAACCGACACAGGUGGUCAGGUAGAGAAUACCAAGGCGCUUGAGAGAACUCGGGUGAAGGAACUAGGCAAAAUGGUGCCGUAACUUCGGGAGAAGGCACGCUGAUAUGUAGGUGAAGUCCCUCGCGGAUGGAGCUGAAAUCAGUCGAAGAUACCAGCUGGCUGCAACUGUUUAUUAAAAACACAGCACUGUGCAAACACGAAAGUGGACGUAUACGGUGUGACGCCUGCCCGGUGCCGGAAGGUUAAUUGAUGGGGUUAGCGCAAGCGAAGCUCUUGAUCGAAGCCCCGGUAAACGGCGGCCGUAACUAUAACGGUCCUAAGGUAGCGAAAUUCCUUGUCGGGUAAGUUCCGACCUGCACGAAUGGCGUAAUGAUGGCCAGGCUGUCUCCACCCGAGACUCAGUGAAAUUGAACUCGCUGUGAAGAUGCAGUGUACCCGCGGCAAGACGGAAAGACCCCGUGAACCUUUACUAUAGCUUGACACUGAACAUUGAGCCUUGAUGUGUAGGAUAGGUGGGAGGCUUUGAAGUGUGGACGCCAGUCUGCAUGGAGCCGACCUUGAAAUACCACCCUUUAAUGUUUGAUGUUCUAACGUUGACCCGUAAUCCGGGUUGCGGACAGUGUCUGGUGGGUAGUUUGACUGGGGCGGUCUCCUCCUAAAGAGUAACGGAGGAGCACGAAGGUUGGCUAAUCCUGGUCGGACAUCAGGAGGUUAGUGCAAUGGCAUAAGCCAGCUUGACUGCGAGCGUGACGGCGCGAGCAGGUGCGAAAGCAGGUCAUAGUGAUCCGGUGGUUCUGAAUGGAAGGGCCAUCGCUCAACGGAUAAAAGGUACUCCGGGGAUAACAGGCUGAUACCGCCCAAGAGUUCAUAUCGACGGCGGUGUUUGGCACCUCGAUGUCGGCUCAUCACAUCCUGGGGCUGAAGUAGGUCCCAAGGGUAUGGCUGUUCGCCAUUUAAAGUGGUACGCGAGCUGGGUUUAGAACGUCGUGAGACAGUUCGGUCCCUAUCUGCCGUGGGCGCUGGAGAACUGAGGGGGGCUGCUCCUAGUACGAGAGGACCGGAGUGGACGCAUCACUGGUGUUCGGGUUGUCAUGCCAAUGGCACUGCCCGGUAGCUAAAUGCGGAAGAGAUAAGUGCUGAAAGCAUCUAAGCACGAAACUUGCCCCGAGAUGAGUUCUCCCUGACUCCUUGAGAGUCCUGAAGGAACGUUGAAGACGACGACGUUGAU